UCUCAUUCGGAUCGGAGUCUGCAACCCGACUCCGUGAAGCUGGAUUCGCUAGUAAUCGCGCAUCAGCCAUGGCGCGGUGAAUACGUUCCCGGGCCUUGUACACACCGCCCGUCAAGCCAUGGAAGCCGGGGGCGCUUGAAGUGCGUUGCCGCAAGGCGCGCCCUAGAGCGAAACCGGUGACUGGGGCUAAGUCGUAACAAGGUAGC
RNAcentral lists this ribosomal RNA (206 nucleotides) under uncultured bacterium. RNAcentral's name for it is "partial 16S ribosomal RNA". It matches the Rfam family "Bacterial small subunit ribosomal RNA", at positions 1286 to 1500 of the family's 1533-position model. The record is from RNAcentral.